ACGUAGGUGGCAAGCGUUAUCCGGAUUUACUGGGUGUAAAGGGCGAGUAGGCGGGAUUGCAAGUCAGAUGUGAAAACUAUGGGCUCAACCCAUAGACUGCAUUUGAAACUGUAGUUCUUGAGUGAUGGAGAGGUAGGCGGAAUUCCCGGUGUAGCGGUGGAAUGCGUAGAUAUCGGGAGGAACACCAGUGGCGAAGGCGGCCUGCUGGACAUUAACUGACGCUGAGGCGCGAAAGCGUGGGGAGCAAACAG
Molecule: ribosomal RNA, 251 nt
Filed under: uncultured bacterium
Lineage: Bacteria
Description: partial 16S ribosomal RNA
Rfam family: Bacterial small subunit ribosomal RNA
Source: RNAcentral